Homo sapiens (human) is the source of this 1579-nucleotide long non-coding RNA. Ensembl annotates it as long intergenic non-protein coding RNA 635. The record is from Ensembl. Lineage: Eukaryota; Metazoa; Chordata; Mammalia; Primates; Hominidae.
AUAGCAACAGCAGCGUAGCUGAACAUCUUACGGAUGGCCCAGGGCUCCAAAGGCUCGUUUCCUAAGUGAGAGAGAGCCUGGCUGAAGCUGUAUUACCAUUCAUUCUCCAGCCUCCGAAGUCUCAAAGCAUCACUUCCACCAUACUCUAACUGUCAAGACAAACACAAAGGCCCAGAAACUGCCAGACUGUCUUCUGAAGUGGCUAUAAUAUUUACACUCCCAUCAGCAGUGUAGAAGGGGUCUCACUAUGUUGUCUGGAGUGCUGUGGUGGAGUGGAGUGGCUAUUCACAGCUGAGUUUGCAGAGUAAACCACUACCCUGAAAUCUGGAAAGGCAGGUGCACCCACAGAUCCUCAGCUGAGAUCCAAUUACCUGAAAUAGAAGCUGCCAUUAGGAACACUUAAAAGAGCCUGUUCUGCUGGGACACAGAAUCACUUGCUCCAUCUCAUACAUUGAUGAUGAUUAAUUUGUAUGUGUACCUUCCAAAAAAGAUGGUUGUGUUUGAAUGGAGGCCUUCUGGACAGGAAAAUUGCAAAGUACAAUUAACAUUUGAGUCUGUCUGAGUCAUGAAGAAAUGGAGAUUACUGAAAAUAAUUCAUUUUGGUAUCUUCUUACAUCCUGAGAGACUAAUCUUUCCAAGUUCAUCUGAGGCUCCUCUUCUCCAUGACAACCUCAUCCAGGGAUUUCUUCCUGUCCUGGUGUUUUAUGACAUAAUCACAUCCUUCCUGAGAUAAUGAGCACACAAUUGCCUGGAUACCUGAAGGAAUGGAGACAGCGGCAGAAAACACUGCAGAGAGGUGGAAACAUCCGUUAAUAUUUUAAAAUCCCAUUACUGCUACCAACAAUAAUAAUGGAUGCAUAGAAAUAGAUCUGGAUUAGCUGAGCUUGAAACAGUCCAUCUCACACACACACAAAAGAAUUUCAGAUACAGUGAACCCACAUGUUGAAGCUUUCUAGUAUAAUAAAAAUUUCAACUGUUCUGUUGAAUCAUCUGCCUGAUUGGAGGCUACAGAAAAGAUGUCAUCUUAGGAGUGCUUGCUCUGAGUGAGGCUCAUCUUCAAAUCUGAAUGACCACAAGGAGAUUUGAUUAUACAUGUGAACACCUCAGAAGGCACAGCCCACCCAGAAGGCAGACAGGUCAGGCUGCUUUUUCUUCAUUGCUUGGAUUCAAUCCUCCGGGCGGCUCAGGCUCAAACAUAACUUAAGCAUGAUUAAACUUUAGAAGAAGCUGCCAGGAAGACUGUGAAAUCUUCAUGCCCAAGGAUCCCUAAAAUUAGGAGCAACAACCACUUGGCUCAGACGGUUUAUGGAGGCAAAGGUUUGGAUGGGAUUAGAGAUUUCUAAAUGUGAGUUCGUGUCCUCUGCCAGACCACCUUACUUCCACCAUUCCUCAGCAAAUCAAGAAAAACAGGAGAAAAGACAUGCCUUUCCAUAAGUUAAAUCUAUUCUGUUUUAAUUCUAUAUUAUAUCUGCUGUACAACUUCUUUUGUUUGUAACACCAUAUUGUUGCUAGUAACUGGAAAUUAAUUUUCACAUGCCUCAGCUUAGAAAAAUAAAAAGCAGCCCUGCAUCAAUCCCAA